UACGAAGGGUGCAAGCGUUAUUCGGAAUCAUUGGGCGUAAAGCGCGCGCAGGCGGAUUCGUAAGUCAGGGGUGAAAUCCCGGGGCUCAACCUCGGAACUGCCUUUGAUACUGCGGGUCUUGAGUCCGAUAGAGGUGGGUGGAAUUCCUAGUGUAGAGGUGAAAUUCGUAGAUAUUAGGAAGAACACCGGUGGCGAAGGCGGCCCGCUGGAUCGGUACUGACGCUGAGGUGCGAAAGCGUGGGGAGCAAACAGG
Molecule: ribosomal RNA, 253 nt
Filed under: uncultured bacterium
Lineage: Bacteria
Description: partial 16S ribosomal RNA
Rfam family: Bacterial small subunit ribosomal RNA
Source: RNAcentral